This 466-nucleotide ribosomal RNA is filed under the name uncultured bacterium. Its description in RNAcentral is "partial 16S ribosomal RNA". It matches the Rfam family "Bacterial small subunit ribosomal RNA", at positions 29 to 507 of the family's 1533-position model. The record is from RNAcentral.
ACGAACGCUGGCGGCGUGCUUAACACAUGCAAGUCGCACGGAAGGCCCUGCUUUUGUGGGGUGCUCGAGUGGCGAACGGGUGAGUAACACGUGAGUAACCUGCCCUUGACUUUGGGAUAACUUCAGGAAACUGGGGCUAAUACCGGAUAGGAGCUCCUGCUGCAUGGUGGGGGUUGGAAAGUUUCGGCGGUUGGGGAUGGACUCGCGGCUUAUCAGCUUGUUGGUGGGGUAGUGGCUUACCAAGGCUUUGACGGGUAGCCGGCCUGAGAGGGUGACCGGCCACAUUGGGACUGAGAUACGGCCCAGACUCCUACGGGAGGCAGCAGUGGGGAAUAUUGCACAAUGGGCGGAAGCCUGAUGCAGCAACGCCGCGUGCGGGAUGACGGCCUUCGGGUUGUAAACCGCUUUCGCCUGUGACGAAGCGUGAGUGACGGUAAUGGGUAAAGAAGCACCGGCUAACUACGUG